CUAGAGAUAGAUCUUGUUACCCAUCUCCUAUUAACAAGGAAUAGAUAAGGUUUCAAAGGGAUAAGAAAUAGAAUUCUAAUUGAUAGGAAUUAGUUUUACCGUGAGAGAGGAGGUGGAGGCGUGCACGGUGUGGAGAGGAGGAGGACAUCGUACAGGGAGAGAGGAGGAGGAGAUCGGCCAGGGAGGAAAAAAGGAAAAGAGAAAAAGA
Molecule: long non-coding RNA, 208 nt
Filed under: Oryza brachyantha (malo sina)
Lineage: Eukaryota; Viridiplantae; Streptophyta; Magnoliopsida; Poales; Poaceae
Description: long non-coding RNA (OBRA_LNC001936)
Source: RNAcentral